Molecule: long non-coding RNA, 248 nt
Filed under: Elaeis guineensis (African oil palm)
Lineage: Eukaryota; Viridiplantae; Streptophyta; Magnoliopsida; Arecales; Arecaceae
Description: long non-coding RNA (EGUI_LNC021965)
Source: RNAcentral
AUGCUCUGAAUGAAAAUAAUCGUUGCUAGCUUGAUCUGCAUGCCAUAACCAAAAAUCGGUUAGUCUCUAGGCCGUGCACGAAUACUACUCCCCUCUAUAAAUAGAGAGGCAUGGGGACCCCUAAGGUAAGCUUUAAAAAAUUAUUCUCUUCUUCUUCUUAUUCUACAUCUUCUAACUUUAGCAUUGGAGGGUCCUCCCUGAAAAAUACCUCGAUUAGGGUAUUUUGUAGGUCUUUACUCAACCCUCGA